Molecule: ribosomal RNA, 253 nt
Filed under: uncultured bacterium
Lineage: Bacteria
Description: partial 16S ribosomal RNA
Rfam family: Bacterial small subunit ribosomal RNA
Source: RNAcentral
CACGUAGGGUGCGAGCGUUGUCCGGAAUUAUUGGGCGUAAAGAGCUUGUAGGCGGUUUGUCGCGUCUGCUGUGAAAAUCCGGGGCUCAACCCCGGACUUGCAGUGGGUACGGGCAGGCUAGAGUGUGGUAGGGGAGACUGGAAUUCCUGGUGUAGCGGUGGAAUGCGCAGAUAUCAGGAGGAACACCGGUGGCGAAGGCGGAUCUCUGGGCCAUUACUGACGCUGAGGAGCGAAAGCGUGGGGAGCGAACAGG